This 231-nucleotide unclassified non-coding RNA is filed under the name Hevea brasiliensis (rubber tree). Lineage: Eukaryota; Viridiplantae; Streptophyta; Magnoliopsida; Malpighiales; Euphorbiaceae. The record is from RNAcentral.
GUCUAUAUUCACGCUAUUACCAUGCCACUCCCAUAUUCCCAAAUCCUUUGUAUCGACAAUUAAGAUAAAUAUGGUAACAACUAAAACAAAUGAGAAUGAAAUGAAAGAUGUUUAAAAAAAUCAAUUUCCUGUUCUAGAAAUAGGUGAAACUGAAUUUAGAGCAACUUUAGAACAUAAAGGAUACCCCAAGGCUUUGCUUCACCAGUUUAUUCUCCCAGACUUGCUAGUUAA